Molecule: ribosomal RNA, 462 nt
Filed under: uncultured bacterium
Lineage: Bacteria
Description: partial 16S ribosomal RNA
Rfam family: Bacterial small subunit ribosomal RNA
Source: RNAcentral
GCCUCCCUCUUUCUUCGUGCUUCCCCCCUGCACGUCGAGCGGAAAGGCCCUUCGGGGUCCUCGAGCGGCGAACGGGUGAGUAACACGUGAGUAACCUGCCCUAGGCUUUGGGAUAACCCCGGGAAACCGGGGCUAAUACCGGAUAUGACCUGGUGCCGCAUGGUGUUGGGUGGAAAGUUUUUUCGGCCUGGGAUGGGCUCGCGGCCUAUCAGCUUGUUGGUGGGGUGAUGGCCUACCAAGGCGAUGACGGGUCGCCGGCCUGAGAGGGCGACCGGCCACACUGGGACUGAGACACGGCCCAGACUCCUACGGGAGGCAGCAGUGGGGAAUAUUGCACAAUGGGCGGAAGCCUGAUGCAGCGACGCCGUGUGAGGGAUGAAGGCCGUCGGGUUGUAAACCUCUUUCAGCAGGGACGAAGCGUGAGUGACGGUACCUGCAGAAGAAGCGCCGGCCAACUACGUG